RNAcentral lists this long non-coding RNA (409 nucleotides) under Homo sapiens (human). Its description in RNAcentral is "HSALNT0398344". The record is from RNAcentral. Lineage: Eukaryota; Metazoa; Chordata; Mammalia; Primates; Hominidae.
AGUUGGGAUUUCAGGCACGUGCCACCACACCCAGCCUCCCAGAGUGCGGGGAUUGCAGGCGUGAGCCACUGUGCCCGGCCACAAUGUGCACUUUGGAUGAGGUGGGAGCCAUGGGAGGCUUCUGAGGUGAGGAGGGUGUGCGCUGAUUCAGAUCUCAAGACCUUCUGACUGCGAUGUGGAGAAUGGACUGCAGGGGGCGAUGGUGGAAGCCAGGAGCCCAAUGAGGACACCACCGCCCUGGUUCAGGCCCCAGCUCCUGGAGGACAUUUCGAACACACCGUGAGGGGGAAGGGAAGCUGCUGUGUUGAAGGUGCUUCUGGAAUAGUAUUUUCAUCUCGUCCACUUUUUUUUUUUUUUUUUUGAGACGGAGUCUCGCUCUGUCGCCCAGGCUAGAGUGCAGUUGCGCGAU